Molecule: transfer RNA, 77 nt
Filed under: Clostridiales bacterium
Lineage: Bacteria; Bacillati; Bacillota; Clostridia; Eubacteriales
Description: tRNA-Arg
Rfam family: tRNA
About the family: Transfer RNA (tRNA) molecules are approximately 80 nucleotides in length. Their secondary structure includes four short double-helical elements and three loops (D, anti-codon, and T loops). Further hydrogen bonds mediate the characteristic L-shaped molecular structure. tRNAs have two regions of fundamental functional importance: the anti-codon, which is responsible for specific mRNA codon recognition, and the 3' end, to which the tRNAs corresponding amino acid is attached (by aminoacyl-tRNA synthetases). tRNAs cope with the degeneracy of the genetic code in two manners: having more than one tRNA (with a specific anti-codon) for a particular amino acid; and 'wobble' base-pairing, i.e. permitting non-standard base-pairing at the 3rd anti-codon position.
Source: RNAcentral
GUACCCGUAGCUCAGCGGAUUAGAGUAUCAGACUCCGACUCUGAGGGUCGCAGGUUCAAAUCCUGUCGGGUACACCA